Molecule: ribosomal RNA, 497 nt
Filed under: uncultured bacterium
Lineage: Bacteria
Description: partial 16S ribosomal RNA
Rfam family: Bacterial small subunit ribosomal RNA
Source: RNAcentral
GAUGAACGCUGGCGGCGUGCCUAAUACAUGCAAGUCGAGCGAACAGAUAAGGAGCUUGCUCCUUUGACGUUAGCGGCGGACGGGUGAGUAACACGUGGGUAACCUACCUAUAAGACUGGGAUAACUUCGGGAAACCGGAGCUAAUACCGGAUAACAUUUGGAACCGCAUAGUUCUAAAGUGAAAGAUGGUUUUGCUAUCACUUAUAGAUGGACCCGCGCCGUAUUAGCUAGUUGGUAAGGUAACGGCUUACCAAGGCAACGAUACGUAGCCGACCUGAGAGGGUGAUCGGCCACAUUGGAACUGAGACACGGUCCAGACUCCUACGGGAGGCAGCAGUAGGGAAUCUUCCGCAAUGGGCGAAAGCCUGACGGAGCAACGCCGCGUGAGUGAUGAAGGGUUUCGGCUCGUAAAACUCUGUUAUUAGGGAAGAACAAACGUGUAAGUAACUGUGCACGUCUUGACGGUACCUAAUCAGAAAGCCACGGCUAACUACGUG